ACCCGGGUGGCGGAACAGGUAGACGCGCAGGACUUAAAAUCCUGUUGCCCGAAACGGCAGUACGGGUUCGAUUCCCGUCCCGGGUAC
Molecule: transfer RNA, 87 nt
Filed under: Puia dinghuensis
Lineage: Bacteria; Pseudomonadati; Bacteroidota; Chitinophagia; Chitinophagales; Chitinophagaceae
Description: tRNA-Leu
Rfam family: tRNA
About the family: Transfer RNA (tRNA) molecules are approximately 80 nucleotides in length. Their secondary structure includes four short double-helical elements and three loops (D, anti-codon, and T loops).
Source: RNAcentral